RNAcentral lists this non-coding RNA (92 nucleotides) under Asticcacaulis benevestitus. Its description in RNAcentral is "Glycine sequence". It matches the Rfam family "Glycine riboswitch aptamer". From Rfam's summary of the family: This family represents the bacterial glycine riboswitch. Lineage: Bacteria; Pseudomonadati; Pseudomonadota; Alphaproteobacteria; Caulobacterales; Caulobacteraceae. RNAcentral also lists the same sequence under 1 other name. The record is from RNAcentral.
GAUACCCCUACGGGAGAGAGUGUAGCUUCGGUUACACCGCCGAAGGCGCAACCGCCCCGGAAACGCUCAGGCCCACGGACCGUAGGAUAACU